Molecule: ribosomal RNA, 490 nt
Filed under: uncultured bacterium
Lineage: Bacteria
Description: partial 16S ribosomal RNA
Rfam family: Bacterial small subunit ribosomal RNA
Source: RNAcentral
GAUGAACGCUAGCUACAGGCUUAACACAUGCAAGUCGCGGGGCAGCAUGGGGGUUGCUUGCAAUCCCCGAUGGCGACCGGCGCACGGGUGAGUAACGCGUAUCCAACCUGCCCUUCACCACGGGAUAACCCGGCGAAAGUCGGACUAAUACCGUAUGUUGUCCAUUGACGGCAUCCGAUUUGGACGAAAGGCUGGGCGGUGAGGGGGGGGGAUGCGUCCGAUUAGCCAGACGGCGGGGUAACGGCCCACCGUGGCUACGAUCGGUAGGGGUUCUGAGAGGAAGGUCCCCCACACUGGAACUGAGACACGGUCCAGACUCCUACGGGAGGCAGCAGUGAGGAAUAUUGGUCAAUGGGCGUAAGCCUGAACCAGCCAAGUAGCGUGCAGGAUGACGGCCCUAUGGGUUGUAAACUGCUUUUAUGCGGGGAUAAAGUGGCCCACGGGUGGGCUUUUGCAGGUACCGCAUGAAUAAGGACCGGCUAAUUCCGUG